ACCAUUACUCUCCGAGUCACCAACGGCUACAAGAAGAUCAUUAGGAUCUGCAACACAAUUUGAUUUCUUUCAGUCCACCCAAUCCAGAUUGUCUACAAGCUAUUCGAGAAAUUAUAAAAAUAAUUGAGUCAUACAGAUUAUUUUUUGUUGUUAUAUAUAGGCAGGUAGUUGAAAAAAAUUGUUGUAUAUUGCUGAGGUUUUGUUAUGUUAUUCACCCCAGAAAUGAAUGCAAUGUGAAUGGAGGGAACUUUCAAUUUUUUUUUCAUUUGAAUCAAAAACAAAUUUUAUUGAUACAAAAUUUCAAAUUUUCUUUUUCUUUGUUAAUUGGAACUUUCUGAUACAAAAUUUCUUAUCAACUGUAACAUAUAUGUUGCCAUGCAAGGUUCGGUCAUUUUUUGAGAAGCAUUUCUUAGUGAGUACCAACAGAUUAAUUCAUUUAAACAACAUAGAAAUGCGUUGAGAUUAUUACUCUCUUUAUCCAUGACACAGUCAUGACACUUGAAUUUCUGUAUACCCUUUUCCUUCAUCCAUGACACCUAUUUUGAUCAUUGAUUGAGGUUUAACAGCCAUUGAUUACCUCCAUGGUUGUUGAUUGAGAGAAAGUGGACGAAAAGAAACUCUAGCUGUGAAGAAGAGAGCAAUUGAUUAGAGAAGAAGAGGAUCGAUGGAUAAAACCCUUCUUCUGCAUCUUUCCUAUAUUUUGCUCUAAUUUUGAUAUUUUUUUUUCAGAUACGUCAGAGUUUUUAUUAAUAUCUAAAAAGAUACAAGAGCUUUAGUAAUAUUCCAGUGAUAGAGAGAUUCACUGUAAAACAUUCGCAGCUCUGUGCUCUGUGUGAGGGACAAAAAGAUUAUAAAUAAAAACUCCAAAAGCAGCUACUGAAGGAAGAUAAUAUCCCAAUUGGUGAGCAGGUCACCAUAGCUGUAGUCUUUGUUCACUGAACUUACCAAAUUGAAGGAGAAAAGAGGCAGAGGUGUAUAACUCAAGUUGCGUCGCUAGCUCUUCUUCAAGGUGAGUGUAAUAGUUCUUGACUGUGAACAUACCUUUAGAAGAAAGAGCCCAUUGCCAACUGUCCUGAUCAUCAGAUAGUGUUGAGAAGAGCCAAAAGUUGCUGCCAGUCAUCUUGCUCUCAUUGUCUUGGAUGUCUUCGUAGGUGCAAGUCUACUUACAUAUGAUUUGCUCAUCAACCUUGGGCCCAACUACUCUUCAGUACGUAAUCAAAGGCAGAGAGAACAUUUACAGGCACCUUCCCAACUAAUUGACAGGGAUGACAGGGUAAUACUGAAAAACAAGGAGCUGCCAAAAGCCAGGCUUUUUUUUAUUUAAUGGUGAAGAGGACGAAGGGUUAUUGUCCGAUCUUUGUGUGUUAGUCUUACUAACAAAGAGUAUCGUUUUCGUGAAUACUCCCGACCAGGUUCUUUUGCUACAUGGAAAAUUUGCACAAAAGUCUAGCUGGGUUAAUGUUUUUACCAACGUGCAGACAUUUUCAGACUUUGAUUACCCUUGUAGUAUGCUCAUCACUUGUGACGGUCAUGAUAUGCCCCGUGAGAAAGUGCCCUGUGUAAUUAACUU
This 1570-nucleotide long non-coding RNA is filed under the name Aquilegia coerulea. RNAcentral describes it as "long non-coding RNA (ACOE_LNC000413)". Lineage: Eukaryota; Viridiplantae; Streptophyta; Magnoliopsida; Ranunculales; Ranunculaceae. The record is from RNAcentral.